AGCCCAGAGCCUGAAUCAGUGUGUGUGUUAGUGGAAGCGUCUGGAAAGGCGCGCGAUACAGGGUGACAGCCCCGUACACAAAAAUGCACAUGCUGUGAGCUCGAUGAGUAGGGCGGGACACGUGGUAUCCUGUCUGAAUAUGGGGGGACCAUCCUCCAAGGCUAAAUACUCCUGACUGACCGAUAGUGAACCAGUACCGUGAGGGAAAGGCGAAAAGAACCCCGGCGAGGGGAGUGAAAAAGAACCUGAAACCGUGUACGUACAAGCAGUGGGAGCACGCUUAGGCGUGUGACUGCGUACCUUUUGUAUAAUGGGUCAGCGACUUAUAUUCUGUAGCAAGGUUAACCGAAUAGGGGAGCCGAAGGGAAACCGAGUCUUAACUGGGCGUUAAGUUGCAGGGUAUAGACCCGAAACCCGGUGAUCUAGCCAUGGGCAGGUUGAAGGUUGGGUAACACUAACUGGAGGACCGAACCGACUAAUGUUGAAAAAUUAGCGGAUGACUUGUGGCUGGGGGUGAAAGGCCAAUCAAACCGGGAGAUAGCUGGUUCUCCCCGAAAGCUAUUUAGGUAGCGCCUCGUGAAUUCAUCUCCGGGGGUAGAGCACUGUUUCGGCAAGGGGGUCAUCCCGACUUACCAACCCGAUGCAAACUGCGAAUACCGGAGAAUGUUAUCACGGGAGACACACGGCGGGUGCUAACGUCCGUCGUGAAGAGGGAAACAACCCAGACCGCCAGCUAAGGUCCCAAAGUCAUGGUUAAGUGGGAAACGAUGUGGGAAGGCCCAGACAGCCAGGAUGUUGGCUUAGAAGCAGCCAUCAUUUAAAGAAAGCGUAAUAGCUCACUGGUCGAGUCGGCCUGCGCGGAAGAUGUAACGGGGCUAAACCAUGCACCGAAGCUGCGGCAGCGACGCUUAUGCGUUGUUGGGUAGGGGAGCGUUCUGUAAGCCUGUGAAGGUGUGCUGUGAGGCAUGCUGGAGGUAUCAGAAGUGCGAAUGCUGACAUAAGUAACGAUAAAGCGGGUGAAAAGCCCGCUCGCCGGAAGACCAAGGGUUCCUGUCCAACGUUAAUCGGGGCAGGGUGAGUCGACCCCUAAGGCGAGGCCGAAAGGCGUAGUCGAUGGGAAACAGGUUAAUAUUCCUGUACUUGGUGUUACUGCGAAGGGGGGACGGAGAAGGCUAUGUUGGCCGGGCGACGGUUGUCCCGGUUUAAGCGUGUAGGCUGGUUUUCCAGGCAAAUCCGGAAAAUCAAGGCUGAGGCGUGAUGACGAGGCACUACGGUGCUGAAGCAACAAAUGCCCUGCUUCCAGGAAAAGCCUCUAAGCAUCAGGUAA
Molecule: ribosomal RNA, 1327 nt
Filed under: Escherichia coli
Lineage: Bacteria; Pseudomonadati; Pseudomonadota; Gammaproteobacteria; Enterobacterales; Enterobacteriaceae
Description: partial 23S ribosomal RNA
Rfam family: Bacterial large subunit ribosomal RNA
Source: RNAcentral